AGAUAAAUGGCUGAGUUGGUUCAAGGCGACAGUUUUGAAAACUGUUUUAUUUCAAGAAUAAUCAUGGGUUCGAAUCCUAUUUUAUCUU
RNAcentral lists this transfer RNA (88 nucleotides) under Surirella sp. Its description in RNAcentral is "tRNA-Ser". It matches the Rfam family "tRNA". Rfam says of the family: Transfer RNA (tRNA) molecules are approximately 80 nucleotides in length. The record is from RNAcentral. Lineage: Eukaryota; Bacillariophyta; Bacillariophyceae; Surirellales; Surirellaceae.